AGGGGCUUUCCCUUCGGGGACAGAGUGACAGGUGGUGCAUGGUUGUCGUCAGCUCGUGUCGUGAGAUGUUGGGUUAAGUCCCGCAACGAGCGCAACCCUUGAUCUUAGUUGCCAGCAUUCAGUUGGGCACUCUAAGGUGACUGCCGGUGACAAACCGGAGGAAGGUGGGGAUGACGUCAAAUCAUCAUGCCCCUUAUGACCUGGGCUACACACGUGCUACAAUGGACAGAACAAAGGGCUGCAAGACCGCAAGGUUUAGCCAAUCCCAUAAAUCUGUUCUCAGUUCGGAUCGCAGUCUGCAACUCGACUGCGUGAAGCUGGAAUCGCUAGUAAUCGCGGAUCAGCAUGCCGCGGUGAAUACGUUCCCGGGUCUUGUACACACCGA
RNAcentral lists this ribosomal RNA (385 nucleotides) under Bacillus pumilus. RNAcentral describes it as "bacterial SSU rRNA". It matches the Rfam family "Bacterial small subunit ribosomal RNA", at positions 1007 to 1393 of the family's 1533-position model. The record is from RNAcentral. Lineage: Bacteria; Bacillati; Bacillota; Bacilli; Caryophanales; Bacillaceae.